Non-coding RNA from Solanum lycopersicum (tomato), 1593 nucleotides. The record is from RefSeq and is a predicted model, not a curated record. NCBI's taxonomy places the organism in Eukaryota, Viridiplantae, Streptophyta, Magnoliopsida, Solanales, Solanaceae.
AUAAAAGAAUAUUGAAUUUUUGUCCUAUCACUAGUCAUAAAGGUGAACAUUUGGUUGUGUCUAUUAGUAAUUGUUUACUUGAUUGGAAGUUGGAUAACGUUUUUACUGUUACGGUUGAUAAUGCCUCUUUAAAUGAUGUGGCAGUUUUAGAGUUGUCCAAAAAAUUAGAUACGUGGGGAACUAAUAUGAUGGAAGGUAAGAAUCUCCAUUUGAGAUGUAUGACUCAUAUACUUAAUCUAAUUGUGCAAAAUGGUUUGAAUGAAAUUGGUCCUUCUAUCAAAAGGGUGAGACAAAUGAUGAAAUAUGUUAGAUCAUCUUCUUCAAGGACAAGAAAUUUCUUGAAAUGUGUUGGAAUUCAAAAGAUAGAAUGUGAUAACAUGUUGUCUUUAGAUGUGCCUACUAGGUGGAAUUCCACCUAUUUGAUGUUAGACACAACACAAAAAUUUGAGGAGGCUUUUGAGAGGUAUGAUCUUUAUGAUAGUAAAUUUAAUUCUUUUCCUGUGAAGAUGGAAGUGUCACAAGUUCAAUUCAAUAUGAAGAUUGAGCUAAUGUGAGGAAUGUCACAAAGUUUCUUGAAAAAAUUUAUGAGCUCACUUUGAAAGUUUCAGGUUCACGAUAUGUUAAUUGUAAUGUUCAUUUUGAAAAUAUAUGUUAACUUGAUGCUUAUUUGAAAUUAUGUAUGGCAAGUGAUAACCUUGAUUUGAGUAAAAUGACUUCGGGAAUGAAAGAAACAUUCAAAAAAUAUUGGGAUACUCUUGAAAAAAUGAACAAAAUGAUUUUUAUUUCUUUUGUUUUGGAUCCUCGCAAUAAAUUUGUGUAUGUUAGUUUUACUCUUGAAGAAUUACUUGGGGAAGAAACGAGAAAUGUAGUGAAUACGAAAGUAGAUGCUUACUUGAGUGAUUUGUUUGCGAUAUAUAUAAGUAAGUAUGGAAAAGGUUCCAAAAGUCAACCAUCUUCAUCUGACUUAUCUGAUUCUUCUGCUUGUGGUAUUUCUCAAAAUGUGUCCAAAAAUUCUUUGAGAACGAAGUUUCACAUGAAGAAACAAAAGCAAGAUUUUGGAAGUUUAGGUGUUAAAUCUGAGUUGGAUAAAUAUCUUCUUGAAGACCAAGAGCCUGAAUCUGGAGAUUUUGAUAUUUUGAGUUGGUGGAAAGUUAAUUCUCCUAGAUUUUCUGUACUUUCACAGUUGGAUCGAGAUGUAUUAGCUAUUCCUAUGUUGAGUGUGGCAUCGGAAUGUGCAUUUAGGACCGGUGAUCGUAUUCUAGAUCCCUUUAGAAUUUCAUUGACUCCCAAAUUUGUGCAAUGUCUUAUUUGUGUUCAAGAUUGGCUUAGACAAGAAACCAAGCCUAUUUGUGUUGAAGAAAGUUUGGAGUUUCUUGAAAAAAGUUGAACUUGAGAUGGCAAAUAGUGGAAGAAACUCUUUCAUUGUUGAUCUAUGAUUGACUUGCAAGCGUCCAAGAAUCAAGACAAUGAAGAAAUAAUUUUGUUGACACGUGACACUUGAAAGUUGAAAGCGGUCUAAUGGAAGAAAGUCAAGAAACUCAUUAUUGUUGUUUGUUAUUGUUGACAUUUGAAUUGAAAAUAAUCUCAUGGAAG